UGGGGAAUAUUGCACAAUGGGCGCAAGCCUGAUGCAGCCAUGCCGCGUGUGUGAAGAAGGCCUUCGGGUUGUAAAGCACUUUCAGCGAGGAGGAAGGUGGUGAACUUAAUACGUUCAUCAAUUGACGUUACUCGCAGAAGAAGCACCGGCUAACUCCGUGCCAGCAGCCGCGGUAAUACGGAGGGUGCAAGCGUUAAUCGGAAUUACUGGGCGUAAAGCGCACGCAGGCGGUUUGUUAAGUCAGAUGUGAAAUCCCCGGGCUCAACCUGGGAACUGCAUUUGAAACUGGCAAGCUAGAGUCUCGUAGAGGGGGGUAGAAUUCCAGGUGUAGCGGUGAAAUGCGUAGAGAUCUGGAGGAAUACCGGUGGCGAAGGCGGCCCCCCUGGACGAAGACUGACGCUCAGGUGCGAAAGCGUGGGGAGCAAACAGAUUAGAUACCCUGGUAGUCACGCUGUAAACGAUGUCGAUUUGGAGGUUGUGCCCCUUGAGGCGUGGCUUCCGGAGCUAACGCGUUAAAUCGACCGCCUGGGGAGUACGG
RNAcentral lists this ribosomal RNA (538 nucleotides) under uncultured bacterium. RNAcentral's name for it is "partial 16S ribosomal RNA". It matches the Rfam family "Bacterial small subunit ribosomal RNA", at positions 355 to 885 of the family's 1533-position model. The record is from RNAcentral.